AGAGCGAACGCUGGCGGCAGGCUUAACACAUGCAAGUCGAGCGGGCGUAGCAAUACGUCAGCGGCGGACGGGUGAGUAACGCGUGGGAACGUACCUUUUGGUUCGGAACAACACAGGGAAACUUGUGCUAAUACCGGAUAAGCCCUUACGGGGAAAGAUUUAUCGCCGAAAGAUCGGCCCGCGUCUGAUUAGCUAGUUGGUGGGGUAACGGCUCACCAAGGCGACGAUCAGUAGCUGGUCUGAGAGGAUGAUCAGCCACAUUGGGACUGAGACACGGCCCAAACUCCUACGGGAGGCAGCAGUGGGGAAUAUUGGACAAUGGGCGCAAGCCUGAUCCAGCCAUGCCGCGUGAGUGAUGAAGGCCCUAGGGUUGUAAAGCUCUUUUGUGCGGGAAGAUAAUGACGGUACGCAAGAAUAAGCCCCGGCUAACUUCGCGCCAGCAGCCGC
Molecule: ribosomal RNA, 447 nt
Filed under: uncultured bacterium
Lineage: Bacteria
Description: SSU rRNA
Rfam family: Bacterial small subunit ribosomal RNA
Source: RNAcentral